Molecule: long non-coding RNA, 580 nt
Filed under: Equus caballus (horse)
Lineage: Eukaryota; Metazoa; Chordata; Mammalia; Perissodactyla; Equidae
Description: lncRNA (ENSECAG00000029260.3)
Source: RNAcentral
UUUCUGACUGCUCUUUAGCAAUUGGGAAGAUAAGAGUCAUUUGCUGGCAAGGACCAUCUCAUGGAGUUCUAAGAAUGCAAUCAAAGAGGCAGAAAUCAGAGCCGGGAGAGACACCAAGCUCCAAUGACCAUGCCAUCCCAGAGAUGAUAACACAAUAAAGUAUCUUUGCAAGAACCGUGUUAGCACCUGUGCAAUGACUGGGAGGAACCCGAUGACACUGCCCUCAAGAAAAGAUCCUCAAAGCUUCAUGGAAGAUACUGCAAGGGAGCAGACUGGUAAAGAGGGAAAGCCCAGGAACUCACAAGAGGAAAGGAAAUGGAGAUGGCAGCAGCAGGGAGAGGCACAUUAGCCCCAAAAAGAUCCAUCUGGGAGGGAUGAGAACUGCCCACCGGCUCAUGCCCUUACUGGGUGAUCAGUGAAGUAAGCAGAGCCUGCGAAGACUAGACUGAGGUUUCCACCAGCAUGGCAGUCUACUCCUGGCUCAACCUUGAGGGGUGGUCCAGGGCAAUUUUGGCCACAGUUGAAGAAAUGAUGCCACUAAGGGGAAGGAGAUGACUCAGGGGUAGAAGGAUACCUGAGC